This 1461-nucleotide long non-coding RNA is filed under the name Meriones unguiculatus (Mongolian gerbil). RNAcentral describes it as "lncRNA (ENSMUGG00000024304.1)". The record is from RNAcentral. Lineage: Eukaryota; Metazoa; Chordata; Mammalia; Rodentia; Muridae.
GUUGAGAGGCUCAUCGCACAGCUAGGAGGGGAGGAUGCAGCAGAGAAAGGCACACAUGCCAGGGACUCUGCUGUCCUUCCAGGGACUUGGUGAAGAUGGUCUGUAGUUGGAGACCGACGUACGUCCCUUCUGCUCCAUCUGUCUUUGCCACAAAGCCUCUCACACACAGACUCCCAGCCUCUGAGUGCUGGGUUCUCUCCUUUUACAACCCCAAAUCGCAGUUCCAGAAGACAAUCCGGUGUCCCUUACCCCUCCUGAUGAACUGUGGAAUGGGGCAGAGGACCCAGAGCUCUUCCCAGCUCUUUGCGAAGACCACCAGAAUGGUGACGGUGCGUGGAGUGGACUUCUCUGGUUGUGACCUGGGUUUCUUUGAGGAUGCUGACCCUGGAAGCGGCUUACUGGCUCAGCCGCUGCGAACACCGGUGAUGGUGUGUUUAUCCGGCUUCCUCCUCAGUCUUUGAGGCUCGUCCCUUGCAGGGAUGCAGCCCGCCGCCACCUGUCCCACAAGCAGAUGUCUUCUGGUAGUUUGGAGGCUUGGCCAUGCUGUUAAAGAUUCAAGGUGAGUGGCUGAGAUGCAAAGAUGCAAGCCACGCGGCCAGUUGAGGAACGUGGAACAGAGGCUCAGUGGAAGCAAGCCGUCAGGAGGCAGACGGUUGCUGCCUUCCAGGUGGAUGCAGCGAUGAGGAGGUGAUUCCUGGCAGGUGACCAGGACUCUUCGGGAAGGAGCAGGGGAGAGCUGUCCUGUCUCUACUGAUGCCCUAGCACAUUUCUACUCCGGUGAAGGGUGGCACAGCUGCAGGUGAUGCCAUAUAAACUAUCACAUGGCCUGAUGUGUCUCUUUGGGCCAGAAAUAACCCUUCUGAGAAUAACUGCAGAAUAGGGAACAGAUUGGAAAUCCAAGCCUCAGAGAGGACCAGAGAAAGAAACACACAACUAUACGCCAAACAUAGAAAGGCUUUGCUACUAUUGUUUUGAGGCAAGGUCUCACUCAGCCAGGCUGGCCUGGAAAUCACUGUGUAAUUCAUGCUAGCCUCAAAUUCACAUCAGUUUGGUAUAAGUUUUCGAACCCAACCGCACAAGAGAGUUUUGAGCUUACCCACCUGCCUCAUCUCUCCACUGCCAUCACAGGGUUUGCAACCAAAUGGGCCAGAGCCUCCAGAUACCAUUCUUGCUGUUUGGUUGGAGUUUUGUUAUUGUUGUUACUUUGUUUUGUUUUCCCAGACAGGGUUUCUUUCUGUAGCCCUGGCUGUCCCGGAACUCCCUCUGUAUACCAGGCUGACUUUGAACUCAGAGACCUACCUGCUGCUGCCACCUGGAAUUAAAGGUGUGACCAGCCCAAACAUCUUUCAAUAAGUUCAUUCCACCACCUUCUCUCCACACUCUGGAAACGGUGGGAGAAUGCCCUGUUAUAUUUAAGGACAGCUUGUACUCAAUGACCCCAGAUACUACAGCAGCAAUCCU